RNAcentral lists this ribosomal RNA (728 nucleotides) under Occidozyga cf. laevis PNM RMB 4189. Its description in RNAcentral is "partial large subunit ribosomal RNA". It matches the Rfam family "Bacterial large subunit ribosomal RNA", at positions 1542 to 2495 of the family's 2925-position model. The record is from RNAcentral. Lineage: Eukaryota; Metazoa; Chordata; Amphibia; Anura; Dicroglossidae.
UCUAUUUGUCAUCACUAACCCAUCAUCACUAUUGAAUAAAUUCAUAAAUUAUGAAAAUUACCAUGCUAGAACUAGUAACAAGAAAAUGUAUUUCUCCAAAGCGUAAGCAUAAGCCAAGACGGACAACCCUUUGGUAAUUAACGGCCUUGAGCCUAUUAUAGUAAAAUAUCUAGAAAACCCUAUAUCUUACACCGUUAACCUUACACAAGAACUCUCCUGGAAAGAUUAAAAGGAAGAGAAGGAACUCGGCAAAUCAUAACCCCGCCUGUUUACCAAAAACAUCGCCUCUUGCUGGAUAUAAGAGGUCUAGCCUGCCCAGUGUUUUAAUCAACGGCCGCGUGAUUUAAGCGCGCGAAGGUAGCGUAAUAAUUUGUUCUUUAAAUGAGGACUUGUAUCAAUGGCAUCACGAGGGUUAUACUGUCUCCUCUCCCCAAUCAGUGAAACUAAUCUCCCUGUGAAAAAGCAGGAAUAAACCAAUAAGACGAGAAGACCCCAUGGAGCUUAAAACACAGCAACAACCCUAAUUAGUUAAUCUAUAUAAUUUUAAGCCCUGUAUGCUAGUUUUAGGUUGGGGUGACCGCGGAGCAAAACAAAGCCUCCACAACGAAAAGGGCUUACACCCUUAUCCAAGAGACACACCUCUAAGAAUUAUAAUAAUAACGUAUAAUGAUCCGACCAUCGACCAACGGACCAAGUUACCCUGGGGAUAACAGCGCAAUCCACUUUAA